CCUACGGGAGGCAGCAGUGAGGAAUAUUGGUCAAUGGGCGAGAGCCUGAACCAGCCAAGUCGCGUGAGGGAAGACGGUCCUACGGAUUGUAAACCUCUUUUGUCAGGGAGCAAGGAGCGCCACGAGUGGUGCGGCGAGAGUACCUGAAGAAAAAGCAUCGGCUAACUCCGUGCCAGCAGCCGCGGUAAUACGGAGGAUGCGAGCGUUAUCCGGAUUUAUUGGGUUUAAAGGGAGCGUAGAUGGGUUGUUAAGUCAGUUGUGAAAGUUUGCGGCUCAACCGUAAAAUUGCAAUUGAUACUGGCAGACUUGAGUACAGUUGAGGUAGGCGGAAUUCGUGGUGUAGCGGUGAAAUGCUUAGAUAUCACGAAGAACUCCGAUUGCGAAGGCAGCUUACUAAACUGCCACUGACAUUGAUGCUCGAAAGUGUGGGUAUCAAACAGGAUUAGAUACCCCAGUAGUC
RNAcentral lists this ribosomal RNA (460 nucleotides) under uncultured bacterium. Its description in RNAcentral is "partial 16S ribosomal RNA". It matches the Rfam family "Bacterial small subunit ribosomal RNA", at positions 338 to 795 of the family's 1533-position model. The record is from RNAcentral.